This 405-nucleotide ribosomal RNA is filed under the name Triticum aestivum (bread wheat). Its description in RNAcentral is "partial small subunit ribosomal RNA". Lineage: Eukaryota; Viridiplantae; Streptophyta; Magnoliopsida; Poales; Poaceae. The record is from RNAcentral.
AUGUGUGAUCACGUUGUCGACGCCACCACCACAUACGCUCUCUGGCACAAGAUCAAAGACUUCUUCCUCGCCAAUCGCGACGCCCGCUUCAUGAUCCUCAACCGCCAAUACCGCAACCUUAAGCAGGGUGACCUCUCGGUGUCCGAGUACGCCCAUCGUCUCAAACUCCUCACCGACGCUCUCGCUGACAUAGAUCAUGCCGUUUCCGAGGUGGAUCUCACCACCCAGUUCCUUCAUGGCCUUGACAAGCGGCUCGACACCAUCCGCGUCGUCCUCGGUGACCAGGGCCUUCCCUUCGACACCGUCCUCUCCCGCGUCGUCCUCGCGGAGGAGUCGUAGGCGCAGCGCGCGGCUGCGGAAGGCGCAUCCGCGUUCGCCAUGGCGGGCGGCAGCUCUUCGGGCGGU